UGCCAGCCGCCGCGGUAACACGUAGGUGACAAGCGUUAUCCGGAAUUACUGGGCGUAAAGCGCACGCAGGCGGUUGGUCAAGUCUGAUGUGAAAGCUCCCGGCUUAACUGGGAGAGGUCGUUAGAAACUGAUCAACUUGAGGUAGUGAGAGGGGUGUGGAAUUCCCGGUGUAGUGGUGGAAUGCGUAGAUAUCGGGGGGAACACCAGUGGCGAAAGCGGCACCCUGGGAUGCAACUGACGCUGAGGCGCGAAAGCAUGGGUAGCGAACGGGAUUAGAUA
RNAcentral lists this ribosomal RNA (279 nucleotides) under uncultured bacterium. RNAcentral describes it as "partial 16S ribosomal RNA". It matches the Rfam family "Bacterial small subunit ribosomal RNA", at positions 506 to 784 of the family's 1533-position model. The record is from RNAcentral.